GUCUUGAUAGUAUAAACAUUACAAUGGCCUUGUAAGCCAGAAAUGAAGUAAUAAACUUCUCAAGACA
RNAcentral lists this transfer RNA (67 nucleotides) under Melanomys caliginosus (dusky rice rat). RNAcentral describes it as "tRNA-Thr". The record is from RNAcentral. Lineage: Eukaryota; Metazoa; Chordata; Mammalia; Rodentia; Cricetidae.